CCGGGAGGAAAACUGUUACCCAGCAAGUUGACAGCAGAUCCCAGAUAACGAAAAACCUUUUGCAGUUGCAUGAAGACCCUGGAGGCGUCCAGGCAGGCAAGGGUGACACCCUUGAGGAUGCUGGCCCAGGGCCUCAGGCCCAGCUUAUUACAGGCGGAAUGCCUCCUCCACAGAUGACUUCUGUGGACAAGAGUAAUGACAGUGGGCUUCCCUGGUGGCACAGUGCUUGAGAGUCUACCUGCCAAUGCAGGGGACGCGGGUUCGAGCCCUGGUCUGGGAGGAUCCCACAUGCCGCGGAGCAACUGGGCCCCUGAGCCACAGCUACUGAGCCUGCGCAUCUGGAGCCUGUGCUCUGCAACAAGAGAGGCCGCGAUAGUGAGAGGCCCGCGCACCGCGAUGAA
Eubalaena glacialis (North Atlantic right whale) is the source of this 401-nucleotide long non-coding RNA. RefSeq lists it as uncharacterized. The transcript is spliced from 3 exons. NCBI's taxonomy places the organism in Eukaryota, Metazoa, Chordata, Mammalia, Artiodactyla, Balaenidae. The record is from RefSeq and is a predicted model, not a curated record.